Molecule: ribosomal RNA, 851 nt
Filed under: uncultured bacterium
Lineage: Bacteria
Description: bacterial SSU rRNA
Rfam family: Bacterial small subunit ribosomal RNA
Source: RNAcentral
GCCUAACAUGCAAGUCGAACGGUAACAGGAUAGCAAUAUCGCUGACGAGUGGCGUACGGGCGCUUUAACGCGUACACAAUCUGCCUUAUACUGGAGCAUACCCCCAAGAAAUUGGGACUAAUUCUCCAUAAUAUAUUUGGAUGGCAUCAUUUGAAUAUUAAAACUCCGGUGGUAUAAGAUGAGUGUGCGUCCGAUUAGGUAGUUGGUGAGGUAACGGCUCACCAAGCCGACGAUCGGUAGCUGGUCUGAGAGGACGAUCAGCCACACGGGCACUGAGACACGGGCCCGACUCCUACGGGAGGCAGCAGUAGGGAAUAUUGGACAAUGGGCGCAAGCCUGAUCCAGCCAUCCCGCGUGAAGGAUUAAGGCCCUAUGGGUUGUAAACUUCUUUUCUCUGGGAAUAAAAAGCGGGGUUCACCCUGCCUUGAAGGUAUCAGAGGAAUAAGCACCGGCUAACUCCGUGCCAGCAGCCGCGGUAAUACGGAGGGUGCAAGCGUUAUCCGGAUUCACUGGGUUUAAAGGGAGCGUAGGUGGCUUUGUAAGUCAGUGGUGAAAUGUCGCAGCUUAACUGCGAAACUGCCAUUGAUACUGCUUAGCUUGAAUCACGUCGAGGUGGAUGGAAUAUUACAUGUAGCGGUGAAAUGCUUAGAUAUGUAAUAGAACACCGAUUGCGAAGGCAGUUCACUAGGCGUGUAUUGACACUGAGGCUCGAAAGCGUGGGGAUCAAACAGGAUUAGAUACCCUGGUAGUCCACGCCCUAAACGAUGUAAACUCGACAUUAGCGAUAUACUGUUAGUGUCCAAGCGAAAGCGUUAAGUUUACCACCUGGGAAGUACGACCGCAAGGUUGAA